Long non-coding RNA from Mesocricetus auratus (golden hamster), 654 nucleotides. RefSeq lists it as uncharacterized. The record is from RefSeq and is a predicted model, not a curated record. The transcript is spliced from 4 exons. NCBI's taxonomy places the organism in Eukaryota, Metazoa, Chordata, Mammalia, Rodentia, Cricetidae.
CCAUGUGGAAUUGAGCUAUUUGGGAGCCAGAGACUUCAUUCAACAAAUAGUGAGCGCCGAAUACCGGAGGUACAGUGAUGAACGAAAUAGACUCUGGUGCCUUCCUGGGGGCACAUUAGAAGAGAGAGAAAUGGAGUAAAAUAGCAAAUUGUGUCAUAUAUUGUGACGUCAUAGUACUAUUCAAAACAGAAAGCAGGGAAGGUCUUAAGGUUGUCCCUGUCAGGGGCAAUGUGGAUUUCAGACACAGUGACCAGGAAAGGGCUUUGAGAGAAACGGACACACGGGAAGAGUUGCGGCUCCGAGGGGCUAAGCUACACAGAGUACUCUUCCUGUGAUCAGCAGUCACAAGUGUCUGGGGGACUGAUCGGAGAAGCAGGGAGAAGAGCAUUUCCUAAAGAAGUCGGGAAAUCUGCACCUUAGGGGCCGCAGAGUCAGGAUGGUCAUCCAGAACAGCGGUCUUCCCACAGUGCUUCCGUACUGGACAAGUGAAGAUCGCCCCUGACGUCGAGAGCCUAGGAAAAUCAAUGCAAGGUUUAUGGAGGAAUUCUGUAGCCCAGGAGGCAUGAUGGUGUACUGUAGCUAAGCAUAUUCACUUUCCUCUGAAAUAGAUCUUAAAAGAGAAGGAAACAUUAAAAAUAUCAAUUCCUAAUAAGA